CCUACGGGGGGCAGCAGUGGGGAAUUUUGGACAAUGGGCGCAAGCCUGAUCCAGCCAUGCCGCGUGUGUGAAGAAGGCCUUCGGGUUGUAAAGCACUUUUAAUCGGGAGGAACACCUGUCGGCUAAUACCUGGCAGUAUGACAUUACCGAUAGAAAAAGCACCGGCUAACUACGUGCCAGCAGCCGCGGUAAUACGUAGGGUGCAAGCGUUAAUCGGAAUUACUGGGCGUAAAGCGUGCGCAGGCGGUUAUUUAAGUCAGAUGUGAAAUCCCCGGGCUUAACCUGGGAACUGCAUUUGAUACUGGGUAACUAGAGUUGAGUAGAGGAGAGUGGAAUUUCCGGUGUAGCGGUGAAAUGCGUAGAUAUCGGAAGGAACACCAGUGGCGAAGGCGGCUCUCUGGACUAAAACUGACGCUGAGGUACGAAAGCGUGGGUAGCAAACAGGAUUAGAUACCCU
RNAcentral lists this ribosomal RNA (457 nucleotides) under Salmonella enterica subsp. enterica. Its description in RNAcentral is "bacterial SSU rRNA". It matches the Rfam family "Bacterial small subunit ribosomal RNA", at positions 338 to 788 of the family's 1533-position model. The record is from RNAcentral. Lineage: Bacteria; Pseudomonadati; Pseudomonadota; Gammaproteobacteria; Enterobacterales; Enterobacteriaceae.